Molecule: non-coding RNA, 200 nt
Organism: Oryza nivara
Lineage: Eukaryota; Viridiplantae; Streptophyta; Magnoliopsida; Poales; Poaceae
Source: Rfam
AAAAAAAUAAACCCUAGAUUUCCGUGUCCAAUGUUUAACUAUCCGUGUUAUAUGAAAAUUUUUUAUAAUUAGUAUUUUCAUUAUUGUUAGAUGAUAAACCAUGAUUAAUACUUUAUGCGUGACUUAUCUUUUUAUUUUUUUCAUAAUUUUUCAAAUAAUACGGACGGUCAAACGUUAGAUAUGAAAACUCAGCGUUUAUU